RNAcentral lists this ribosomal RNA (366 nucleotides) under uncultured Rhodoferax sp. RNAcentral describes it as "bacterial SSU rRNA". It matches the Rfam family "Bacterial small subunit ribosomal RNA", at positions 1014 to 1382 of the family's 1533-position model. The record is from RNAcentral. Lineage: Bacteria; Pseudomonadati; Pseudomonadota; Betaproteobacteria; Burkholderiales; Comamonadaceae.
GCUCGAAAGAGAGCCGUAACACAGGUGCUGCAUGGCUGUCGUCAGCUCGUGUCGUGAGAUGUUGGGUUAAGUCCCGCAACGAGCGCAACCCUUGUCAUUAGUUGCUACAUUCAGUUGGGCACUCUAAUGAGACUGCCGGUGACAAGCCGGAGGAAGGUGGGGAUGACGUCAAGUCCUCAUGGCCCUUAUAGGUGGGGCUACACACGUCAUACAAUGGCUGGUACAAAGGGUUGCCAACCCGCGAGGGGGAGCCAAUCCCAUAAAGCCAGUCGUAGUCCGGAUCGUAGUCUGCAACUCGACUACGUGAAGUCGGAAUCGCUAGUAAUCGUGAAUCAGAAUGUCACGGUGAAUACGUUCCCGGGUCUU